AGCAGCAGCAGCGGCGGCAGCGGCGGGCGGCCGCGCGGGUGUUUAUGUCGGGUCGCGGGGUCUCGCGGCAGCAUGGCGGACUACCUGAUCAGCGGCGGCACCGGCUACGUGCCCGAGGAUGGGCUCACCGCGCAGCAGCUCUUCGCCAGCGCCGACGGCCUCACCUACAACGACUUCCUGAUUCUCCCAGGAUUCAUAGACUUCAUAGCUGAUGAGGUGGACCUGACCUCAGCUCUGACCCGGAAGAUCACGCUGAAGACGCCGCUGAUCUCCUCCCCCAUGGACACUGUGACAGAGGCUGACAUGGCCAUUGCCAUGGCUCUGAUGGGAGGUAUUGGUUUCAUUCACCACAACUGCACCCCAGAGUUCCAGGCCAACGAGGUGCGGAAGGUCAAGGCAAGUACCAGGCCUGUCCCCAGCAAGAUGCCACCUGGCAGUCCCCACCUCAGAGGCCCUCCCAGCCUCCCCCGCCAGCCCUGCACUGCUACACUCCCUGCGUGUCCUUCCUCUCAGUGGAGCCUUGGGGCCGAGCCCUCAUUUU
RNAcentral lists this small RNA (541 nucleotides) under Pan troglodytes (chimpanzee). RNAcentral's name for it is "retained intron". The record is from RNAcentral. Lineage: Eukaryota; Metazoa; Chordata; Mammalia; Primates; Hominidae.